AGUGAACGCUGGCGGCGUGCUUAACACAUGCAAGUCGAGCGGUCUUCAGCAGCGUAUCGCUGAAGGCAGCGGCAGACGGGUGAGUAACAUUUGGGUAAUCUACCUUUUAGUGAGAGGCAACCUGCCGAAAGGCGGGCUAAUAUCUCAUAAGACCACGGGAUCGCAUGAUUCUGAGGUUAAAGCUCCGCAAGGGGCGCUAGACGAGGAGCCCGAAUUCAUCAGGUAGUUGGUGAGGUAAUGGCUCACCAAGCCUUUGACGGAUAGCCGGCCUGAAAGGGUGAUCGGCCACACUGGGCACUGAGACACGGGCCAGACUCCUACGGGAGGCAGCAGUGGGGAAUUUUGGACAAUGGGGCAACCCUGAUCCAGCGACGCCGCGUGAAGGAUGAAGGUCUUCGGAUUGUAAACUUCUUUUGAAGGGAUGAAUGCCUGGUGAAUAGCCAGGGGUGACAGUACUCUUCGAAUAAGCCACGGCUAACUACGUGCCA
Molecule: ribosomal RNA, 488 nt
Filed under: uncultured bacterium
Lineage: Bacteria
Description: bacterial SSU rRNA
Rfam family: Bacterial small subunit ribosomal RNA
Source: RNAcentral